CUCUUAAUUGUGGUGUCAGCUU
This 22-nucleotide non-coding RNA is filed under the name Rattus norvegicus (Norway rat). The record is from RNAcentral. Lineage: Eukaryota; Metazoa; Chordata; Mammalia; Rodentia; Muridae.